CGAUAACGAACGAGACCUUAACCUGCUAAAUAGCCCGUAUUGCUUUGGCAGUACGCUGGCUUCUUAGAGGGACUAUCGGCUCAAGCCGAUGGAAGUUUGAGGCAAUAACAGGUCUGUGAUGCCCUUAGAUGUUCUGGGCCGCACGCGCGCUACACUGACAGAGCCAGCGAGUAUUCCCUUGGCCGGAAGGCCGGGUAAUCUUGUUAAACUCUGUCGGCCUGGGGAUAGAGCAUUGCAAUUAUUGCUCUUCAACGAGGAAUCCGUAGUAAGCGCAAGUCAUCAGCUUGCGUUGAUCACGUCCCUGCCCUUUGUACACACCGCCCGUCGCUACUACCGAUUGAAUGGCUCA
This 349-nucleotide ribosomal RNA is filed under the name uncultured Chaetomium. Its description in RNAcentral is "SSU rRNA". It matches the Rfam family "Eukaryotic small subunit ribosomal RNA", at positions 1326 to 1700 of the family's 1831-position model. Lineage: Eukaryota; Fungi; Ascomycota; Sordariomycetes; Sordariales; Chaetomiaceae. The record is from RNAcentral.